AGAACCGGUCAAAAAGUGUGCGUUCCCUUCCUUUGCCUCUUGAUCACAUGAGUGCAACAAGCUAUUGCACUGCAAGUUUCUCAAAUUACACACGGAGAAAAUCAUGCAAUUGAUACUCAAGUAACUAGAAGGAACAUGCCAAAGUAUUGAAACAAACUCUAAAAGUAAAAACCAUUCCACAAUCAAACAAGACAAAGUUCAAAUUCAAAGUGAAAAUAGUAC
This 222-nucleotide long non-coding RNA is filed under the name Trifolium pratense (red clover). RNAcentral's name for it is "long non-coding RNA (TPRA_LNC010015)". The record is from RNAcentral. Lineage: Eukaryota; Viridiplantae; Streptophyta; Magnoliopsida; Fabales; Fabaceae.